UACGUAGGGCGCAAGCGUUAUCCGGAAUUAUUGGGCGUAAAGGGUGCGUAGGCGGUUCGGUAAGUUUCGUGUGAAAUCUUCGGGCUCAACUCGAAGCCUGCACGAGAUACUGCCGGGCUUGAGUGUGGGAGAGGUGAGUGGAAUUUCCGGUGUAGCGGUGAAAUGCGUAGAUAUCGGAAGGAACACCUGUGGCGAAAGCGGCUCACUGGACCACAACUGACGCUGAGGCACGAAAGCUAGGGAGCAAACAGG
Molecule: ribosomal RNA, 252 nt
Filed under: uncultured bacterium
Lineage: Bacteria
Description: partial 16S ribosomal RNA
Rfam family: Bacterial small subunit ribosomal RNA
Source: RNAcentral